RNAcentral lists this ribosomal RNA (254 nucleotides) under uncultured bacterium. RNAcentral describes it as "partial 16S ribosomal RNA". It matches the Rfam family "Bacterial small subunit ribosomal RNA", at positions 524 to 776 of the family's 1533-position model. The record is from RNAcentral.
CACGUAGGGGGCAAGCGUUGUCCGGAUUUAUUGGGCGUAAAGAGCUCGUAGGUGGUUCGGUAAGUCGGGUGUUAAACCCCCAGGCUCAACCUGGGGACGCCACUCGAUACUGCUGUGACUUGAGUCCGGUAGGGGAGCGUGGAAUUCCUGGUGUAGCGGUGAAAUGCGCAGAUAUCAGGAGGAACACCAGUAGCGAAGGCGGCACUCUGGGCCGGAACUGACGCUGAGGAGCGAAAGCGUGGGUAGCAAACAGG